AGCAAAUAUAAUCUAUUAUUGCUUAUAUUUAGUAUGUAAAGUCUUGGCUAGUGUGAUUUGGAUGGCAAGCAUUCUAUGUCGUCUCAUUGAAAAAUGCAACACUUGCUUUUUUUUGUAUACAUAGUAACUAUAUUUCACCCUUGUCUAAUUGUACGUCUGUCCAUAAUGUCCAUAAAUUGAUUUUUAUUCUCAAACACUAUUUCG
RNAcentral lists this long non-coding RNA (204 nucleotides) under Mytilus galloprovincialis (Mediterranean mussel). Lineage: Eukaryota; Metazoa; Mollusca; Bivalvia; Mytilida; Mytilidae. The record is from RNAcentral.